Molecule: long non-coding RNA, 5143 nt
Filed under: Brassica napus (rape)
Lineage: Eukaryota; Viridiplantae; Streptophyta; Magnoliopsida; Brassicales; Brassicaceae
Description: long non-coding RNA (BNAP_LNC006919)
Source: RNAcentral
CGAGGGUUGCACCUCGUUCCCGACCGAGAUGUAACGGAACCUUACACCGUUGAAGUUGCGGACGUUGUUGCGGACCCACGUGUCAGCUUCCGCUUGGCUGGAGGCGAUACGCUGGAGAUCAGGGUUGGGAACAUCGAGCAGAAGGUCGAUGUUAGAGCCUCGCAGAGCGGAGAGAACCUCUUGGUUGGGAUCGUAAAGCCGCAUGCGACGGAUGUUACGGUUGCGGUAAAGAGCCACCGCAUCAGCCGGACGUGGCAGGUUGUUUCCUAUUCUCCCGUAGCACACUCCGAUUUGCGCAGCUACAUAUAUGUAUAUCAAAUUAAUAAUCAUUAUUAAUAGAAAUAAGAUUUACAAUGAUAUUAUCGAUAUCGAUAGGUUAAAGAAGGUAGCUAAACCUGCCGUGUGGAAGAAGGAAGCCAUUAAGAAGCUAAGAAGAAGCAAUAACAAUGGUAGUGAGGCUAAGAACCUCGAUUGAUCACUAGACAUCUUCAUGAAAUAACAAUUGAAGAUGAUCUUAUAAUUUCGAGUUUUGUAUGCUUAGAUGCUUAAAACCGUAGCAUUUUGCGCCUAAUUUAUAGAGGGAAUCGGUGAUCUUAGUCAAUGAAAUGAAACAAAAAGUCAUCGCGUCAUAUCAUCACUAGCUGUGGAAUGUUGUAAAUUAAAUCACCGUUCAUGCAUAUCUCACUAAAUUCAUGCUUUGAAAAGUCUUGUAAGUGUGAGUUUUCUCCACAUGUAAGAGCAGCCCAUCGAUGCGAUCCUAUAAUUAAUGAUUUUUAUAUAUAUAAAGAAAAUUCAAUCAUAUAUGUGAUGGCAUAUGGAGGGAGAUGUUUUCAUAGGUUUCAUGUAAGCUUUAGAGAUAUGAGAACAUAUUUUCAUCGUUCUCCAAUGUUUUAAAAAAACAAUCUAGAUACCCACUAAAUUAAUCUCCUAAUAACAGCUUGGACCUUAAAGAAAAUAGUUUUUGGAUCCUUUACGUUUUUUUUUUGCUUUAGGCUGCAUAAAAAAAAUUAAACCUUUAUGUGUAAUUUUCUGUUGGUAGAUUUUGUUAUGGAACCAAAAGAAAUAAUAUACAUAUAAAAUAAUUUAUGAUUCUUUCUCAAUCUUGUUUUUGUUUUUCUUUGUAAUCCUCUUAUUUUUGUAUAGUUUCGAAAUGCUUAUAUGUUUUUUUUUUUGUUAAAAUGAUAUAGGUGGCUUUAUUUAAUUAUUAGGAUAUGUGAUUGAGCGGGGUGUCGCACUCCAUAAACCUAGCCGGCCCUUGAUGUAGCUCUCAAUAAGGCCUAACCAGCUAGACACUAAAAUCUUACUGUUAAAUGGAACGAAUCGUCCACCGCCUCAAAUUCAAAAAUACCGAGUCUCAAAGACUCAAAGUUUGUGUGGAAACUGCAACUUAUGUUUUUGAAAAUAGGCCAGAUUAAAAUAGUUCAUCCAGAUAACAUAUUUUUAUUUUUUUUUAAAUUUCUCAAAAAAAUAUAAACAAAAUAAUAUAUUAAAUAUAAAUUUGAUUAACAUAUGUCAGGAUACCUAAACUUAACAUAUAAUUAUUUUAGUUCAAAUAUUUGGAUAGAUAAUCAAUAAUUAUUUUAAGUAUUUUUAGUGUUUUAAGUAUACUUUUACUAUUUUAUAUAUUUACUAUUGGUUAUUUGUAUAUAUUUUCAAGUAUUUAAACCAGCUUAAAAGUAUCAUAUAUAUUCUAUAUGUUUUUAUAUAUAUUAAAUCUAAAAAUAAUUAAUAUAUAUAAGUAUAUAAAUCUAUUUCAGAUACAUUCGGAUAUUCGGAAUACUUCCAUUCGGAUCGGAUUUGGUUUCAGCUCUCCAAAAACUAAAAUUUGAAUAAUUCGGACAUUUAACCAAAAACUUAAAACGAUGAAAAUGCAAAACAGCAUAUAAAGAAGAACUCAAUCACGAUUCACGAUCAACGGUGAAAUUCCUCUAAAACCGAUCUGAUGAUGAUGCAUCAAAAAGCUGUCAGACUUAAAUAAAAAAUAUAUAUAUAUAUAUAUAUAUCUUAUAUGUGUGUGUGUGAAACCUUAUCAUGUACACAUUAUUCAACAACCUAGUUACGAUAAAGAUGAUGAAGAUAAGUUUGAUGAAAUUCCAAUGCCAAAUAUGUCGAUGAUGAUGAGAAUCAUGAAAUGGACAUUUUGCCUCAAAUCGUGAUCAUGUGGGAACAAGAUUAUUGUGAGCGAAUGUGUGUAUUCUGCAGUAAAACCAUGAUCACGGAUUACUUUAAGAAGAUAUCUUUUUACUGAGAAACAUACAUUGAAAAAUAAGAUGACUAAAUUUUAAGAGGCAUUUGAGCUAUAGCAGGAGAACAAUAUAACCAUUAAGCAUGACUUGAAUUGAAUGAAACACAUAAUAAAUUCCUAUAUGUUAAACAAUAGAUGUGCGGCAUUAUACAACUAUAUGGAAAUGAGAAUACAACUAUCUAGAAAAUAUAAGUGGUCUAAAAAUUGUUUUAGGCGUUAGACUCUCUAGAACCAUAGAGUUUUUUUUAUAAAACGCCUAGGUAAUUAUAAUAGGGUAAUAAUAAAUAAUAAAUAACUUAGUGUUUAUAAAUUGUAGUAAUUACUUUAUUUUAAUAUAAAAUUUUAUAAAAACAAGUAAUAUGAACAUUAGUAUUCGUAAAUCAUGAUACUUAAUCUAUUAUUAGUUAGUCAGUCUAUACGUUUACGGUUUACCAAUUAUAUAUAUAGUAUAUUGUUAUAAUUGGUAAACCGUAAUCAUUUAGGCCAACUAACUAAUAAUUUACUCGUCGGAUAGGUGUUAGGCGUUGAAUCACUAUUCGCUUAACGUCUAAUGAUUUCUUGAACACUAGACUAAAUUGUAGAAUAAACAAAUUUUUAUUUGAAUUGAUUAUAAAAUUGAUAUAACAGAAUAAUAUAUAUAUAUAUAUAUUUAUUUAAUCAUCAAAUACUGAAAAAUAUGAGUGAUUAAUAGUGUCUUCAAUCUUUUUUAUCCAACAUAUCUGAACAUGAAUGAAUUCACACAGUCUUUUGCCUUCUUCACAUCUAUCUAUUUUCUUCUCAUUACACACAACCACAAAGAUAUAAAUAGAUGUUAGGAAAAAAUGUAUAUGCUGAAUGAAUAUAAAUAUAAAUUUAUAUAAAAUUUACAAUUAUUGCCAAAACUUACUCGGAUCUUAAGCUGAAAUACAACGAAUAUUAACACAUUCAAUUCGCAUUGUUUCCCACAUUACUUAGAAUGUUUACCAAAACAUCCGAAUGAAUCUGGUUCGAAUGGACCACUGAUACGUAUGUUAACAAAAAUAUUGAAACGAGUUCAUGCAUGUACCCGAGACGCAGAAUAUAAGGAUGGACAGUCUGGCACACAAUGUCCGGAAACAAUUGUCCGGAAACAAUUGUAUACCUCAUAUUUAAUCAUAUGCAAAACUAACUUAAAAAAGUGAAAACUUAUUAUUUACCCUUUAUGACAAAACAAAAAAAAUCAGGAAUUAUUUUACGAUUCUGACUUUCGCAAGAAUAUCUGGUCCAUCUGCAAAUUCUAUUGUAUAAUCCAAAAAGUAUAUACAGUAGAACCUCCAUAAAUUAUUAAAGUUGGUACUUUGAAAUUUUAUUAAUUUAUAGAGAUAUUAAUUUAAAAAAAUUCAUUAUUAGAUUUCUUAUUUUAAGAUAUAUUUAUUUAAGAUAAGAAAAAUAUUUGAUUUUUGUGCAUAGACAUUAAUUGUUAUUUUUUUUUAAAUCUGACAUUUAUAUUAAUUUUAUUAUAUUAUUUGGUGUAUAUAAUAUAUAUUGUAUUGAACUUAAAUGUGGUUUUAGAUAUAAUAUUACUAAAUAUCAUCAAAAAUAUAUGAAGUGUUAAGAAAAAGUAAAUAUAAUUUCAUUGUUAAUAUAAAACAAACAAUAUAGUAAUAGGUUCUUACUUAUAUAAAAUAUGUAUACAUAUGAACUAUCAAUACAUAUAAACUAUUAAUUUAUAUAUUUACAUAGAAUUUUCUAAGAAAAUAUUAUCUUAUUAUUUUAUUGGUUUCUGUCAAAUUAUAAGUUUAUUAAUUUUCUUGUCUCAUUAUUUCUUAUUAUUGUUACAUGUUUCCCACUUUUUGGAAUCUUUAUUAAUACAAGCCCUCGAAUUCCAUUCAGCUCAUAUCACUAUAAUAAAGUGUCUUCAAGGAUAUUAAUUAGUUGAAAUUGACACCAUACUUGGGCUGUUGAUUGGGAAGAAACAUUCCAAAGAACUUUUCAAACUCAGGACUCUUCUGAUUCUCAUCGAACAUACCGAAUAUAUAAGUCUCGAUAGGUCUCCCUUGUCUUCUAGGAGAUCCACUCUUCACAGUUUGUAUCAAAUUGUUCACAUAAGUCCUUGCAUUAUCCACAUUUGUCGCGGUUCCUCCAGCUGUCGGCCAACCACUCUCCGAGACCACAAUCUCCACCGAUCCUCCUCCUGUUUUCUCCAAUGCCGCAUAAACAGUGUCUACGAGUGCGUGGAAGAGGUUUCGGUAUGCGUUUGACCCAUCAUUGACUACAGUGGACGGUGAAGUGAACAGAGCAUAGUCCAAACGGAUGUCUCUCAUGUUGUUGAUGUAGCUGAAGUAAGGGUAGACAUUCACGAGUAGUGGAGAUUGCUUGCUCACCAAGAAAGCUAUCACGGGAGCGAUAAAGUUUCUAAAUUCAGGUGUGAAUGUCCCACUCGAAGGAGGAAACCCACUAAUGCCUCUGGUGUCUAUAGCCGUGGAGACCUUGAUCCCGAGGCCUGAAACCGCUCUAUCGAUGUUCUGCAUGGCGGGGAGGACGAACCUCGAGGUUGGGUCCGAGGGUUGCACCUCGUUCCCGACCGAGAUGUAACGGAACCUUACACCGUUGAAGUUGCGGACGUUGUUGCGGACCCACGUGUCAGCUUCCGCUUGGCUGGAGGCGAUACGCUGGAGAUCAGGGUUGGGAACAUCGAGCAGAAGGUCGAUGUUAGAGCCUCGCAGAGCGGAGAGAACCUCUUGGUUGGGAUCGUAAAGCCGCAUGCGACGGAUGUUACGGUUGCGGUAAAGAGCCACCGCAUCAGCCGGACGUGGCAGGUUGUUUCCUAUUCUCCCGUAGCACACUCCGAUUUGCGCAGCUACAUAUAUGUAUAUCAAAUUAAUAAUCAUUAUUAAUAGAAAUAAGAUUUACAAUGAUAUUAUCGAUAUCGAUAGGUUA